RNAcentral lists this long non-coding RNA (1469 nucleotides) under Numida meleagris (helmeted guineafowl). RNAcentral's name for it is "lncRNA (ENSNMEG00000002264.1)". Lineage: Eukaryota; Metazoa; Chordata; Aves; Galliformes; Numididae. The record is from RNAcentral.
AUGAUGUCAGAGUUUGAGAUGUACGCUUGUCCACAGCAGAUGCUUUUCAUUUGUAUUGUUUCAUGUAGAGUUCAGCCCUUCACAUUAUCACAGGGCCCAGCUGGGUGGAUGAGGGACAGCGUGGGUGACCUAGCUGCAAAGCAGAUCCCUGUGCUGCCAGGGGUGGCCAGAAGACCACAAAGACACUGUCACUUUGGCACACGGUGGCAUCAGGCAAUUCCAGUCAUAGCAUGAGAACAAUAGACUUUCAGGAUAUUAAAAUCAUAUGCUGAUUACAAGACAGAGCUUUGAAGCAUCAAGUGUGAUCAUGGCUGAGAACUGAGAGACAAGUGGCCAUGACACUGCAGCAUACAGGACUCAUCUUUGGAAAUCUUUCAUCUAUUGCAAGUCUUCACAUUGUCAAGACCUGGAAAACAUGACUUUUGGUGAUCAAUGUUUUGUCCUCAGUGUUUAAAGGUCUAAUGUUGGAGCCCCAUGGUUUUUGUGGUAGCUUUUGUUCUUUUGUAUUACGUUUGUUUCUAAAAUUGCUUUGGGGAUAUAACAACUCUUCUGUUUGCUUUUUGUUGUUGUUGUUGUUGUUUGGGUUUUUUUUUCUUUGUUCCUUCUGAUUUUGUUUCCAUUAAUAGUUUUUUCUGUUGUUGUUGUUUUGUUUUUUUUUUUCCAGAACGGAUCUUGCCAGUGUCAUGUGUGAUACAUACAUACUUGGUUCCAAAACAGCUAGAAACAAAUUUGGGAGGUAUUGAGAUAGAUGAGUAGAUUGUUUCCUUUCCUAUAUAAUUAUGGAAGGAAAAUGGUUGUAUUUAUACCUGUUGAUUCCCACCCCUACCCCUCAAAACUGAAUUUUAUCCAUUGCCUUGUGAGAGCAGUGGCUCAGUCACUUUCAGAGAUUUAGUAGAGAGUGUUAACUCUUCCCCUCCUUUCAUUGCACUUGGAUUUUGUAAUCACCAGUUUUACUGUACAAACCUCCACACUUCUCUCCCCUUUUACUGCCCUUCCUCCUCUCCCACCCCCCUUCUUUUUUAAUUUGGAGCUGUGAAUGGGCAGAUCUGUUUCUGGCCUGGCAUCACUGAGUUUUUCCCAUGCAUUUGCCCUCGAGCUUCUCAGAUGUGAGACAAAUCUCCCUACAAUAGGCUUGCUGCCAUUGUCUGUACAGUUUAAUAGAUGCUGGCAUGUUGGAGGUUACCCAUGAGUCUGCAAAAUCCACUUUCCAUGCUUACUCUUGACACCCCCAUUGAAGCCACUCAUUGUGUAUGCAUCUGGGUAUGAAAGUCCAGCUCAGUGUGGUCCUGUGCUUGUACUGCCCUGCUUUGCAGUUUCUUUGCACUUAUUCACUGAGUGCUGUUUUUGAAAUGCUUACGUUAUAUGAACCUAAAAGAAAGUGUAAAAAAAAACCCUGCCCCAUAAGAUCUGUAUUUGUAUAUACACGUGUCCGUACAAUUAUACUUAAAUAAAAUUAAAGAUUUUCUUCA